This 994-nucleotide long non-coding RNA is filed under the name Sinocyclocheilus grahami. RNAcentral describes it as "lncRNA (ENSSGRG00000034444.1)". Lineage: Eukaryota; Metazoa; Chordata; Actinopteri; Cypriniformes; Cyprinidae. The record is from RNAcentral.
CCCGUUGCCUAGGCGCUCGGUCCAAGCUACUGCGAGCAGCUGCAACAAAACACUUGGUAGGCCUCAGGAGAGGAGAGCACUCUACUGUUGCGUCAAUAUUUGUAAACGGACAGACAUCAUUAACUGUUUCAAAUCGAGUUUGAAGGACAACGACAAUCUGAUGAUUAGUCCAGAGACUGACAUGGGCGGAGGCAAAUGCUGGAAACCACAAUCUAAACUUUGUUCCCAUAAAAACGCUUGGCUAAUUUGCAUGUGAUGCACGGACUCCAGUUGAGCUGUACACGGCCAUGGAAAAAAGAGAGAAAAAGGAGCUGGACGAGCUCACCCUCCGCUUGCAGAGGGACGGUGUGUCCCCUGAGGCUCCAGCAGAGGAGCGUGAGCUGCACCUGUGGCUUUUGCUCCAGCGCAGCGAGGGCAGCCUAAGCGCAGCCAGUGAAGACCUGCAGACUUUACGCACACAGCAGGCCAGCGAGAUGAGAGAGGUGGAAAAUUACGUGGAGCAUAUUCGAAACAUGCUGGAGGAGCGGGAAUCUCUAACAGCGGAGUACGAACGUGACAGCGAACAACUCCGUGCUGAGCUCGCCCUAAUGAAACACCAACAGGACUCCCAGUGUAAGGAGGUGGUGGAGAUGCUGGAGCAGGAGGGUCUAGCAGAGAUCAGUCAGAGCAGUGCCAGUGAGCAGGUGGCCUAUCUGCUGGUGGAGAGAGUCACUCUCCUGGAGAGACUGGAAGCUGCAGAAAGAAAACUGGACACCCAGACCCUCACUGGCAACCUCAGAGAGGUGCAUCUGCAGGAAGAGCUGGAUCAUAUGCGUCACACAUGGGAAGAGGAACUCAGGCAGCAAAAGGAAAGCAUGAAUAAGGUGAGAAGAUCUGUGUCACAUGAGCAGAAAGCAACUUCAAAAGCAGCGCGUUGAAGUCAUAUCCCAUUUAUCUAUAUUUAAUUGUUUCAUUGUCCAUCUCUUGAUAUGUUCUGCAUCAUAAUUUCUCCCGA